AAAUCGUACCCCAAACCGACACAGGUGGUCAGGUAGAGAAUACCAAGGCGCUUGAGAGAACUCGGGUGAAGGAACUAGGCAAAAUGGUGCCGUAACUUCGGGAGAAGGCACGCUGAUAUGUAGGUGAAGCCCCUGCGGGUGGAGCUGAAAUCAGUCGAAGAUACCAGCUGGCUGCAACUGUUUAUUAAAAACACAGCACUGUGCAAACACGAAAGUGGACGUAUACGGUGUGACGCCUGCCCGGUGCCGGAAGGUUAAUUGAUGGGGUUAGCGGCAACGCGAAGCUCUUGAUCGAAGCCCCGGUAAACGGCGGCCGUAACUAUAACGGUCCUAAGGUAGCGAAAUUCCUUGUCGGGUAAGUUCCGACCUGCACGAAUGGCGUAAUGAUGGCCAGGCUGUCUCCACCCGAGACUCAGUGAAAUUGAACUCGCUGUGAAGAUGCAGUGUACCCGCGGCAAGACGGAAAGACCCCGUGAACCUUUACUAUAGCUUGACACUGAACACUGGUCCUUGAUGUGUAGGAUAGGUGGGAGGCUUUGAAGCGUGGACGCCAGUCUGCGUGGAGCCGUCCUUGAAAUACCACCCUUUAAUGGCUGGUGUUCUAACGUAGACCCGUUACCCGGGUUGCGGACAGUGUCUGGUGGGUAGUUUGACUGGGGCGGUCUCCUCCCAAAGAGUAACGGAGGAGCACGAAGGUUAGCUAAUCCUGGUCGGACAUCAGGAGGUUAGUGCAAUGGCAUAAGCUAGCUUGACUGCGAGAGUGACGGCUCGAGCAGGUGCGAAAGCAGGUCAUAGUGAUCCGGUGGUUCUGAAUGGAAGGGCCAUCGCUCAACGGAUAAAAGGUACUCCGGGGAUAACAGGCUGAUACCGCCCAAGAGUUCAUAUCGACGGCGGUGUUUGGCACCUCGAUGUCGGCUCAUCACAUCCUGGGGCUGAAGUAGGUCCCAAGGGUAUGGCUGUUCGCCAUUUAAAGUGGUACGCGAGCUGGGUUUAGAACGUCGUGAGACAGUUCGGUCCCUAUCUGCCGUGGGCGCUGGAGAAUUGAGGGGGGCUGCUCCUAGUACGAGAGGACCGGAGUGGACGCAUCACUGGUGUUCGGGUUGUCAUGCCAAUGGCACUGCCCGGUAGCUAAAUGCGGAAGAGAUAAGUGCUGAAAGCAUCUAAGCACGAAACUUGCCCCGAGAUGAGUUCUCCCUGA
Molecule: ribosomal RNA, 1198 nt
Filed under: Enterobacter cloacae
Lineage: Bacteria; Pseudomonadati; Pseudomonadota; Gammaproteobacteria; Enterobacterales; Enterobacteriaceae
Description: partial 23S ribosomal RNA
Rfam family: Bacterial large subunit ribosomal RNA
Source: RNAcentral